AUGAGGUCUCAUCCCACCCUUUGUGGUUCCUCCUCCUCCGAAUCCCUCUUUGGAAGCCAACGGAGAUGUUGGCACCUUCCCAAGCUUCUCCUUGGGUGGCUUCUCCAGGACUUCUUCUCCUCUUCCAGCUUCUCCUCCAUGGAUAACCAAGCGUUUGAACCCCACGGAGAGAGUUUUCCACCAGGAAAAGAAGGACCAAAGAAAGAGGCCAAAAAGAGCAACAGGUCCCUCCUGAAGAGCUUCUUGGCUUGUCUCCUGGCUUGUGGCAUCACCACAGUGUCCUCACCUUGGCCUUGGUUCUCCAACGAUGCUUCCAAGAGGGAUCCGGAUGGUGGGAAUGUUGGAAUGUCUCCUUCACCCUCCCAUGGGAGAAGGUUGGAUGUGAAAUUCCAGUUCCUGAAUCAUCUCAAGAAGUCUCAAGGUAAAGGUUGGACCUUCAUGGUUUGGUGUCACCUCCAAGAGGUUGGCUCCAUGGAAGGUGGUGUCCAUCUUCUUCUAAUCCUUUGGGAAAACAGAGCUUCUUGCUCCUUCCCCCAUCCUGGAUCAGAGGAGGAUCCAAUGGGAUGAGCUUGGAAAGGUCCUUCAAGCUCAUCUCCUCCCAUUAGGGCCACCUAAAGCAGGUCGCUCCAAGCCCCAUCCAACGUGGCCUUCAACGUUGCCAAGGAUGGAGCAUCUCCCACCUCUUUGGGACCAAUGUCCCAGCACUCACAUGGAGCAGAAUUCCCUCUAUCCCAUCUCCAUGUCCUCUUUGGUAGGUUCAAGCCAUUCCCAUUAUCCCAUUAUCCAUGUCCAAAGCUCAUCUCCGGGUCUCUUGAAGGUCCUUGGAGCUGCUCUAAGGUCUCCUCAAGAGCUUCUCCAUGGGCUUUACUCCAUCCAUCAAUGCUUGGAGUUGAAGGACCUUGCUCAUGGCUUGGUGGAACUCCAUGAGCUUCCCAUGAUCCCACCUUCUCCAGGUCCUUCUGGAUCCCAUCCCACCCCUCGCUGAAGGUCCUGCACCCCCUUGUCUACGUUGCCCGCAAAGCUGGAGUAAGCUUGGAGUAGCUCCUACCACCAGGUAGCGAGGAAACACCUUGAAGAGCCCUUUUACUACGCCUUUACUCACAGCAAGGAGGCGCUUACAAGGGGAAAACAGGUUGGAGAAGCUUUGGGAAAGGAGGUUGGGAGAGUAAGGAUUCGGGAGAACACUUUGGGAAUGCUUCCAGCUCCCGAAAUUGAAGCUCUUCCCAAAGGAAGAUCCCAAAUCCAAGCCGGGAAUGCCCCAAAAAGAGGAAGCACAAGUCAAGUUGCUCCUCUUUUGGAGGAGCAAGAAUCCUGUAGGAUACAAGGAGAAGGAUGGGAAUAGUUGGGAAUGCGACGACCACCUCAUCCCAGGGUGAAUCCAUGGGGAAAACAGGGAAUUGGAGCUUUCCAAGCGGGAAUUCCUUGCUUGGGAAG
This 1434-nucleotide long non-coding RNA is filed under the name Strigops habroptila (Kakapo). RNAcentral describes it as "lncRNA (ENSSHBG00005013673.1)". The record is from RNAcentral. Lineage: Eukaryota; Metazoa; Chordata; Aves; Psittaciformes; Psittacidae.